This 343-nucleotide unclassified non-coding RNA is filed under the name soil metagenome. Its description in RNAcentral is "partial contains 5.8S ribosomal RNA, internal transcribed spacer 2, and large subunit ribosomal RNA". The stretch from base 1 to 120 matches the Rfam family "5.8S ribosomal RNA", at positions 35 to 154 of the family's 154-position model. The record is from RNAcentral.
GAUGAAGAACGUAGCGGAAUGCGAUAAGUAAUGUGAAUUGCAGAAUUCAGUGAAUCAUCGAAUCUUUGAACGCACAUUGCGCCCGCCAGCAUUCUGGCGGGCAUGCCUGUUCGAGCGUCAUUUCAACCCUCGAGCCCCCCCGGGGGCCUCGGUGUUGGGGGACGGCACACCAGCCGCCCCCGAAAUGCAGUGGCGACCCCGCCGCAGCCUCCCCUGCGUAGUAGCACACACCUCGCACCGGAGCGCGGAGGCGGUCACGCCGUAAAACGCCCAACUUUCUUAGAGUUGACCUCGGAUCAGGUAGGAAUACCCGCUGAACUUAAGCAUAUCAAUAAGCGGAGGA